UUUUAUGCUUGCAUAAAUGAUUUUUGGAUUCGGAGCGAGUGGCGAACUGGUGAGUAACACGUGGGUAACCUGCCCCGAAGCGGGGGAUAACAUUUGGAAACAAGUGCUAAUACCGCAUAAUUAGUUGGAACCGCAUGGUUCCAACUUGAAAGAUGGCUCUGCUAUCACUUUGGGAUGGACCCGCGCCGUAUUAGUUAGUUGGUGAGAUAAAAGCCCACCAAGACGAUGAUACGUAGCCGACCUGAGAGGGUAAUCGGCCACAUUGGGACUGAGACACGGCCCAGACUCCUACGGGAGGCAGCAGUAGGGAAUCUUCCACAAUGGACGAAAGUCUGAUGGAGCAACGCCGCGUGAGUGAUGAAGGUUUUCGGAUCGUAAAACUCUGUUGUUAAAGAAGAACAAGUGUUAGAGUAACUGUUAACACUUUGACGGUAUUUAACCAGAAAGCCACGGCUAACUACGUGCCAGCAGCCGCGGUAAUACGUAGGUGGCAAGCGUUGUCCGGAUUUAUUGGGCGUAAAGCGAGCGCAGGCGGUUUUGUAAGUCUGCUGUGAAAGCCCUCAGCUCAACUGAGGAAGUGCAGUGGAAACUACAAAACUUGAGUACAGAAGAGGAAAGUGGAACUCCAUGUGUAGCGGUGAAAUGCGUAGAUAUAUGGAAGAACACCAGUGGCGAAGGCGGCUUUCUGGUCUGUUACUGACGCUGAGGCUCGAAAGCAUGGGUAGCGAACAGGAUUAGAUACCCUGGUAGUCCAUGCCGUAAACGAUGAAUACUAGGUGUUUGGAAGGGUUUCCGCCCUUCAGUGCCGCAGCUAACGCAUUAAGUAUUCCGCCUGGGGAGUACGACCGCAAGGUUGAAACUCAAAGGAAUUGACGGGGGCCCGCACAAGUGGUGGAGCAUGUGGUUUAAUUCGAUGCUACGCGAAGAACCUUACCAGCUCUUGACAUCUUCUGCCAACCCAAGAGAUUGGGCGUUCCCUUCGGGGACAGAAUGACAGGUGGUGCAUGGUUGUCGUCAGCUCGUGUCGUGAGAUGUUGGGUUAAGUCCCGCAACGAGCGCAACCCUUAUUAUUAGUUGCCAGCAUUUAGUUGGGCACUCUAGUGAGACUGCCGGUGAUAAACCGGAGGAAGGUGGGGACGACGUCAAAUCAUCAUGCCCCUUAUGAGCUGGGCUACACACGUGCUACAAUGGAUGGUACAACGAGUCGCGAAACCGCGAGGUCAAGCUAAUCUCUUAAAGCCAUUCUCAGUUCGGAUUGCAGGCUGCAACUCGCCUGCAUGAAGUUGGAAUCACUAGUAAUCGUGGAUCAGCAUGCCACGGUGAAUACGUUCCCGGGCCUUGUACACACCGCCCGUCACACCAUGAGAGUUUGUAACACCCA
Molecule: ribosomal RNA, 1381 nt
Filed under: Apilactobacillus sp.
Lineage: Bacteria; Bacillati; Bacillota; Bacilli; Lactobacillales; Lactobacillaceae
Description: bacterial SSU rRNA
Rfam family: Bacterial small subunit ribosomal RNA
Source: RNAcentral